CUCUGUGGAUAUGAGUAUGUCAGGGAAGAAGGAG
Molecule: non-coding RNA, 34 nt
Filed under: unclassified sequences
Source: RNAcentral